RNA transcript from Fragaria vesca subsp. vesca, 1569 nucleotides. RefSeq lists it as uncharacterized. The record is from RefSeq and is a predicted model, not a curated record. Lineage: Eukaryota; Viridiplantae; Streptophyta; Magnoliopsida; Rosales; Rosaceae. The transcript has 2 exons.
ACCUCAUGAAAACCUAGACCUCAAACACCUAAAUGACUAAAUCCCCUUCAUCUUCAACUUCAAUCCCCUUCUUCCUCUUCCUCAACUUUCUACAUCCAUCGACGUUGUCCCGAUCAUGAUAUUCUGAUCCCAAAUCUUCGCAACACUCUCUCAUAUGAGUCGUAUCUGUGAAUGACGUAGGGGAGGAUUGGGAACCUAUUUCUGAUCGGACGAGCUAUAGAUCUAUGCUUCAAUCAAUAGAGGAAGACGAGCAGCCCAAGGCUCGCUUAUUUCUGAUCGGAAAAAUCCCACAACAGCCCAAGGUUUAUUACUAUUCGGUAAUUGUUUUUGCCAUCUAUAGAAUUGUUGGUUAACGAUUAAUUAUCUCCUUUUCAAUUGAGUUUGAUAAUUGCUUUUUGUUAAAUUGACGGGAGAACGGUUCUUGAUGGAGAAGAGGACGGCUUUAGUUCUGGGUUUGGGUUUUGGCUUCCUGCAAGUCAAAAGCUGAUCAUUUGAUUGAGGCUGGUGAUAAGAUCUAUUUCUGGGACCUUUUUUGGAGGCAAGUGGAAUUAUGUAAAGUGAUCUUCUUUUGGGGAAUGUCAGCACUUAGCUCAAGAACAAGAACAUCACUACUAAUGUUAAAGUUGAUACCAAUUCAAACGUAAGUUUUUAGGCACUUCUAGUUAUUUUUACCUUCAAUAAAUCAUACUUUGGAUUAAUUUGUAGUAUUAAAAUCGAACUUUGAAAGGAAAUAAGGAGGUUUAGUGCUGAAGAGUCAGCUCUUGGCUGAUCAGAUAGGAUAAGUUCCUAUAUUAUGGUAUGUAGUGAUAUAUGUUGUGGUCUACUGUAGCCCAUUCAACAUGAAAUCACAAAUAUGACAAAAGAAACAAACUUUUGAAAUUAAGUUUGUUUAACAUUUAUUGGUUUCAACUUAUUUAGUCUUAUUGUUUGUGUUAGGAGUGUGUGAUUGUAUAUGUAUAUUUAUAAUAGUUGAUUAUAAGGAACUAAUGAAAGGCCUAUAGCACAUGUUUCUCUAAACAAGGCAACAGCUCAAAGUACAGGUUUCUCUAUCCUCAUAGCAAUUGCUGGUCAUGUUUGCACUUUGAGAAAUUCUUAAUGUUUGACAAAUUACCAAGUUUUAGUUUCUUUCCUAUACACUGAUUAAGAUUCAGUAAUUCAGUGCAUACUGUACUUGAAGCCCUGAUGUUUAUAAUGUGUCUUUACUUUGUUAGCUUUGCAGGGAAAAAUAAGCUUGUUAGGAUAGAACAUUUCUUUGUCUGCAUAAGGGAAAACAGGUUUAUAGAUGACACUUCCAAGUUUUUUACAGAACCGCAAGGUAAGGAUAGAUAGUUUAACCUCCUAAAUGAGUUAUUCCUGUUUCAAGGUCAAUUAAGGAUAGUUGGUCUAACCUUAUAUAUCAGAAAAAAAUAUGAACCGACUGUACAAUUUUUAAGACUUUUUAAGAUUCAAUUAUGUUCAGUUAUGCUUUUUAUAAUAAAGAGAAAGGGGCUUGUGAUCCCUGUACUAUUGUUUUGUAGCUUGCACUUUUUUUGUGAAGUUCAGUAAUAUUGCAAGAGUAGAAGGAGGUGA